ACGCUCCCGAGGGUUGGGCUUGUGUGUGGCCUGGAGGAGGCAUGUCCCCCUCCCUGGACCUCCCCUGCAACUCCCCCCGCCCCUGGCCUGAUGGCUUCCAGAUGCUGGGCUCUCAGCAGAGGCUGCCGGCCCCACCCGAAGCCGCAGCCCCGGCCUCUUCCUGAGGGGCCCUCCCGGGGUGCCCUGUUCCAGGACUGGGCCAAGGGGGCUCAUGCCCCUGAAUGUGGGAGAACAGGAAAAGGGUUCUGGGCAGCUCCUGCUCCAUUGAUGAAGGCAGUCUGGGGUCAAGGGGCUGCCAAGUCUAACUCCCCUGCUGUGUGCCCUGGCCCCUUCGCCAGCCUGCAGGCGGAAAGGAGUUUGCACGGACCCCGGAGGCAGCACAUCUGCAACAGCUGGAAACAGCCGUGGCCUUCCUGGCCCCACCCAGCCUGCCCAUCUGUCCAGCCUUGGCUCCCUGUGGGACCCUGGACGCAUCGCUGCCCCUUCCCCGGCCUCGGCUUCCUCUCCCAAUAGAGAGGUGUCCAACGCCGGAAGUCUGGAUGCAAAUCAGCCUCCUUCCGUCCUCAUCAAGCCAAGCCCCCUCCUCCAUCAGGACCCAAAGGCCCAGGGCCUGCACCCAGGGUACAAGUCUCUUACAGGGUCUUGAAAUGUCCGCACUGCAAAAGGGGCCCGGGCCCCCCACUUUCCAUGAGACUUUAGGGUGCAGGGCAGAGAGGGGAUGGUUUUAGGGUCGGUCAGCUGGAUGUCAGUGCUCUCACUUCUCCCGGUUCCCCUGCCCUGAAGUGGAGGUGAUAGGGGGACUGGAGCAGGCCUGCUGCACGGCUGUGUGUGGCCCAGCCUUAGGGCGGAGUCCAGGCUCCCAGGCCUGGCACAAACUCAGACCAUACCAUGUCUGAGAGGCCAGCAGGCCAAGGGGACCAGGACUGCUCUGCAGUGGGUGGCUUAAAGCUGGGGCUCUUUGGAGGUAAGAGGUGGGAAGAGAUGUCCAUAGGAAGCCACAACACAAGACCUCGUUGACAUUUUUCCCUGCCUGAUUCUCACAAAACCCAGUGGGGUGGCCGAGAUUACAGUGAGCAAGCAAUGCAGGGUCGUGGGAAGGAAGGUGAUGAUCCCAAGGUCAAGUAGCCAGACCUGGCACAACAGCAACCUGCAGAUGCCAACCCACUGAAGCGCCUCUACUGACUGCUAGUUCACACAGCCCGCCACUUAUCAGAAGCGGGUGUGUGACUGCAAGCUCAGCCAUCACCCCUGCCCCUCUGAACACAAGCCCACAAGUGAGGUGACUUGCCCAAGGUCACACCCAGCAGCUGGGCAGGGCAGGGUGCAGCCAGAUGCACCCUUCUGCACCUCCCGGCCCAAGUCCCACCAACUCCUCUGCUCUUGGGAGCUGACCCUCAGCCUCUUCCGUCCCUUCCCCGCAAGGCAGCCCACUAACUGGGAGACCAAAGGAGACCACCAGACCCCAGUCCCGAAAACCCCAGCCGGAAGUUCUCACAAGGAAGAGGAGCUGGGGCUGGGAUCAGGGGCCUGUGUCGCCUCCUCCUCUGCAUCAGAAUCUGCCGGCCCAGCUUCUCCAAUGCUCCAUCCUGCCUCCUUCCUCUCCAAAGCCAUCAGCCCAGUCUCCUGGCUCAGAAACCAGCUGCUGGCUAACCUAGUGCUUAACUUAGGUUAAGCACUUUCUUAAAUCCAAGAAAGCAAAUUUCCCCCCAAAAGGUACAGUUCCUCGUGGGACCUGAAUCUGCCACCAAGACCCUCAAAUAUAACUCACCUAAAUUGCCCUGGAAGUACCCGCCGACAGAGUCCUUUAAUAGAAUGCAUUCUAACCAAGGCUUCUGAUUGGUGGAAUAGGAGCUAACCAGGGGUUGUGAUUGGUGGAGUGCCGCUAACCAGGAAUUCUUAUUGGUGGAAUGCUGACCAACCAGGGCUUCUGAUGGCUGACCAACCAGGGGUUCCUGUUGAUGAAGGAUGGUUGAUUGAAAUUUCCAGGUGAUACUGCACUGAAUAAAGUGGAUUUUUCUGCAAA
Molecule: long non-coding RNA, 2023 nt
Organism: Homo sapiens (human)
Lineage: Eukaryota; Metazoa; Chordata; Mammalia; Primates; Hominidae
Exons: 2
Source: RefSeq, a predicted model, not a curated record